UACAGAGGUCUCAAGCGUUGUUCGGAUUCAUUGGGCGUAAAGCGCACGUAGGCGGCUUUCUAAGUCAGGGGUGAAAUCCUGGAGCUCAACUCCAGAACUGCCUUUGAUACUGGAGAGCUUGAGUCCGGAAGAGGUGAGUGGAACUCCGAGUGUAGAGGUGAAAUUCGUAGAUAUUCGGAAGAACACCAGUGGCGAAGGCGGCUCACUGGACUGGUAUUGACGCUGAGGUGCGAAAGCGUGGGGAGCAAACAGGG
RNAcentral lists this ribosomal RNA (254 nucleotides) under uncultured bacterium. RNAcentral describes it as "partial 16S ribosomal RNA". It matches the Rfam family "Bacterial small subunit ribosomal RNA", at positions 524 to 777 of the family's 1533-position model. The record is from RNAcentral.